This 18-nucleotide microRNA is filed under the name Chiloscyllium plagiosum (whitespotted bambooshark). RNAcentral's name for it is "microRNA PC-5p-1682529_1". The record is from RNAcentral. Lineage: Eukaryota; Metazoa; Chordata; Chondrichthyes; Orectolobiformes; Hemiscylliidae.
UAAAUGACUUGGAUGAAA